GUCGAGGGGCAGCAUGAACUUAGCUUGCUAAGUUUGAUGGCGACCCGUGCACGGGUGAGUAACACGUAUCCAACCUGCCGAUGACUCGGGGAUAGCCUUUCGAAAGAAAGAUUAAUACCCGAUGGCAUAGUUCUUCCGCAUGGUGGAACUAUUAAAGAAUUUCGGUCAUCGAUGGGGAUGCGUUCCAUUAGGUUGUUGGCGGGGUAACGGCCCACCAAGCCUUCGAUGGAUAGGGGUUCUGAGAGGAAGGUCCCCCACAUUGGAACUGAGACACGGUCCAAACUCCUACGGGAGGCAGCAGUGAGGAAUAUUGGUCAAUGGACGAGAGUCUGAACCAGCCAAGUAGCGUGAAGGAUGACUGCCCUAUGGGUUGUAAACUUCCUUUAUACGGGAAUAAAGUGAGGCACGUGUGCCUUUUUGUAUGUACCGUAUGAAUAAGGAUCGGCUAACUCCGUGCCAGCAGCCGCGGUAAUACGGAGGAUCCGAGCGUUAUCCGGAUUUAUUGGGUUUAAAGGGAGCGUAGGCGGACGCUUAAGUCAGUUGUGAAAGUCUGCGGCUCAACCGUAAAAUUGCAGUUGAUACUGGGUGUCUUGAGUACAGUAGAGGCAGGCGGAAUUCGUGGUGUAGCGGUGAAAUGCUUAGAUAUCACGAAGAACUCCGAUUGCGAAGGCAGCUUGCUGGACUGUAACUGACGCUGAUGCUCGAAAGUGUGGGUAUCAAACAGGAUUAGAUACCCUGGUAGUCCACACAGUAAACGAUGAAUACUCGCUGUUUGCGAUAUACAGUAAGCGGCCAAGCGAAAGCGUUAAGUAUUCCACCUGGGGAGUACGCC
RNAcentral lists this ribosomal RNA (832 nucleotides) under uncultured bacterium. RNAcentral's name for it is "bacterial SSU rRNA". It matches the Rfam family "Bacterial small subunit ribosomal RNA", at positions 61 to 886 of the family's 1533-position model. The record is from RNAcentral.